RNAcentral lists this transfer RNA (71 nucleotides) under Felis catus (domestic cat). It matches the Rfam family "tRNA". From Rfam's summary of the family: Transfer RNA (tRNA) molecules are approximately 80 nucleotides in length. Lineage: Eukaryota; Metazoa; Chordata; Mammalia; Carnivora; Felidae. The record is from Rfam by way of RNAcentral.
ACCUGGGUGGCUUAGUCGGUUGAGCGUCUGACUUCGGAUCAGGUUUGUGGGUUAGAGCCCUGUGUUGGGUU